RNAcentral lists this ribosomal RNA (483 nucleotides) under uncultured bacterium. Its description in RNAcentral is "partial 16S ribosomal RNA". It matches the Rfam family "Bacterial small subunit ribosomal RNA", at positions 28 to 523 of the family's 1533-position model. The record is from RNAcentral.
GACGAACGCUUGCGGCGUGCCUAAGAAAUGCAAGUCGAACGGAUGGCUUCGGCCAUUAGUGGCGAACGGUCGCGUAACACGUAGGCAACCUGCCCAGAAGUGGGGGACAACGGCCCGAAAGGGCCGCUAAUACCGCAUAUGAACCGAAGGUGGCAUCACCUUUUGUUUAAAGCCUUGUAGUAAUAUGAGGCGCUUUUGGGUGGGCUUGCGGCCUAUCAGCUUGUUGGUGGGGUAAUGGCCUACCAAGGCGACGACGGGUAGCUGGUCUGAGAGGACGAUCAGCCGGAUUGGGACUGAGAUACGGCCCAGACUCCUACGGGGGGCAGCAAUUAGGAAUCUUGCGCAAUGGGGGAAACCCUGACGCAGCGACGCCGCGUGCGGGAUGAAGGCCUUCGGGUCGUAAACCGCUUUUAUCGGGGAAGAAGAAUGUGACGGUACCUGAAGAAUAAGCACCGGCUAACUACGUGCCAGCAGCCGCCGUAA